Molecule: ribosomal RNA, 467 nt
Filed under: uncultured bacterium
Lineage: Bacteria
Description: partial 16S ribosomal RNA
Rfam family: Bacterial small subunit ribosomal RNA
Source: RNAcentral
GACGAACGCUGGCGGCGUGCUUAACACAUGCAAGUCGAACGGAAAGGCCCUGCUUUUGUGGGGUGCUCGAGUGGCGAACGGGUGAGUAACACGUGAGUAACCUGCCCUUGACUUUGGGAUAACUUCAGGAAACUGGGGCUAAUACCGGAUAGGAGCUCCUGCUGCAUGGUGGGGGUUGGAAAGUUUCGGCGGUUGGGGAUGGACUCGCGGCUUAUCAGCUUGUUGGUGGGGUAGUGGCUUACCAAGGCUUUGACGGGUAGCCGGCCUGAGAGGGUGACCGGCCACAUGGGGACUGAGUUACGGCCCAGACUCCUACGGGAGGCAGCAGUGGGGAAUAUUGCACAAUGGGCGGAAGCCUGAUGCAGCAACGCCGCGGGCGGGAUGACGGCCUUCGGGUUGUAAACCGCUUUCGCCUGUGACGAAGCGUGAGUGACGGUAAUGGGUAAAGAAGCACCGGCUAACUACGU